AAUAGAUACCCUGGUAGUCCACGCCGUAAACGAUGAGUGCUAAGUGUUAGGGGGUUUCCGCCCCUUAGUGCUGCAGCUAACGCAUUAAGCACUCCGCCUGGGGAGUACGGUCGCAAGACUGAAACUCAAAGGAAUUGACGGGGGCCCGCACAAGCGGUGGAGCAUGUGGUUUAAUUCGAAGCAACGCGAAGAACCUUACCAGGUCUUGACAUCCCAUUGACCACUAUGGAGACAUAGUUUUCCCUUCGGGGACAACGGUGACAGGUGGUGCAUGGUUGUCGUCAGCUCGUGUCGUGAGAUGUUGGGUUAAGUCCCGCAACGAGCGCAACCCUUGUUCUUAGUUGCUAUCAUUUAGUUGGGCACUCUAAGGAGACUGCCGGUGACAAACCGGGAGGAAGGUGGGGAUGACGUCAAAUCAUCAUGCCCCUUAUGACCUGGGCUACACACGUGCUACAAUGGACGGUACAAACGGUUGCCAACCCGCGAGGGGGAGCUAAUCCGAUAAAACCAUUCUCAGUUCGGAUUGUAGGCUGCAACUCGCCUAC
RNAcentral lists this ribosomal RNA (545 nucleotides) under uncultured bacterium. RNAcentral's name for it is "bacterial SSU rRNA". It matches the Rfam family "Bacterial small subunit ribosomal RNA", at positions 777 to 1319 of the family's 1533-position model. The record is from RNAcentral.